AUUGAACGCUGGCGGCAUGCCUUACACAUGCAAGUCGAACGGCAGCAUGGAGAGCUUGCUCUCUGAUGGCGAGUGGCGAACGGGUGAGUAAAGCAUCGGAACGUACCGUGUAAUGGGGGAUAACGUAGCGAAAGUUACGCUAAUACCGCAUACGACCUGAGGGUGAAAGCAGGGGAUCGCAAGACCUUGCGUUAUACGAGCGGCCGAUGUCAGAUUAGCUAGUUGGUAGGGUAAAGGCCUACCAAGGCGACGAUCUGUAGCGGGUCUGAGAGGAUGAUCCGCCACACUGGGACUGAGACACGGCCCAGACUCCUACGGUAGGCAGCAGUGGGGAAUUUUGGACAAUGGGCGCAAGCCUGAUCCAGCAAUGCCGCGUGCAGGAAGAAGGCCUUCGGGUUGUAAACUGCUUUUGUACGGAACGAAACGGCGAGCUCUAAUACAGUUUGCUAAUGACGGUACCGUAAGAAUAAGCACCGGCUAACUACGUGCCAGCAGCCGCAGUAA
This 504-nucleotide ribosomal RNA is filed under the name uncultured bacterium. Its description in RNAcentral is "partial 16S ribosomal RNA". It matches the Rfam family "Bacterial small subunit ribosomal RNA", at positions 30 to 523 of the family's 1533-position model. The record is from RNAcentral.